UGCGGGGAUUAGGUAAUCAGAAACUUCUUUUUUUCUAAGAAAAGGGCGAAAGCUGUUAGUUUCAGUCCCCUUGCGG
This 76-nucleotide transfer RNA is filed under the name Sphaerospermopsis reniformis. Its description in RNAcentral is "tRNA-Pyl". Lineage: Bacteria; Bacillati; Cyanobacteriota; Cyanophyceae; Nostocales; Aphanizomenonaceae. The record is from RNAcentral.